UAAAUAAAUAACGAAGUAUAAAACGAAAGUAGAAUUAAAUAGUGGAUGAGGAUCUGUGGAUCUGUGGAUCUGAGACAAAAACACUUUUUCCAGGAAAAGUUAACAUUGAUUAGGCAUGGUGUAGCACCUCCUGUUUUUCCCUGUCACCAGUUGCAGUGCCUCCGAGACUGGAACACAGGGCUGAAAAAAAAGGGAAUCAGUGCUUCUGCAGAUGGGACAACUAAAUCCAUAAUGUUAUCAAAGAUAGACUACAGGGAUAUGUUUUCUUCUCUGAGAGAAACACUGAUCUUUAA
This is a long non-coding RNA of Megalops cyprinoides (Indo-Pacific tarpon), 293 nucleotides long. RefSeq lists it as uncharacterized. NCBI's taxonomy places the organism in Eukaryota, Metazoa, Chordata, Actinopteri, Elopiformes, Megalopidae. The record is from RefSeq and is a predicted model, not a curated record. The transcript is spliced from 3 exons.